CUCCCUGGGGGGGAUGAAAGAAUCAUUGGAGAAGGAAAAUGUACUCUGAAAGCGUCCACAUGAGAAGAAGGAGAAGGAAAAACAAAACACAGGAGUGGUCAAGUUAAAACAGGGGUUACAUCCUCAUUUUUUCUGCCAGCUGAGUAAAUGAUUUAUCUCCUUCUGACAUGACGGGGAGCAGGACUUCACUCUUCUUUUGCUUUAAAAAAAAAGAACAGCUUGAAUUGUAAGGAGUUAAUAAAAGUAUCCAAACAUUUGCUUUUUUUUUUUUUAUUUUUCUUCAAAGAAUAAUGCAUAGACAUGACAAUCUCUGUAUCACCCGUGUGUAUUCAUUACUGUAAAGGCAUCUACUACCUUACUCGGACAUCGGUGUCUCUGUAGAUUUAUCAUUUUUCUUCUACUGGACAGAACAUGAAUUGCUCAGUCAGGUGUCGCAAUCCAUGCAGUUCUUAUAAAAGAAAUACCUCUCCCAUAACAUGAUUCUUCCAUAAUUAAAGAUUGCGCUUUUCCAAAAGUACAGUCAAAAAGCUGCCUGGAUCCACCGCUUCGUAGAAAUGCUGGUUAUGCCUGGGCAGACUGACGGGUGCCAACAACCCCAAAGUCCAAAGGGUUCUUACUGAAUUCUGCACAUUUUCAAAUAAUUAUGGUUUGUCUGCAACACGCUUCAUUUGCAUUUAAAAAAUGCCUUUUUUCCCAACAAGAUUUUUUAAGAAUUACCUAUAAACAACUCUAAGUGACCUCACCAACACAGAUAACCUCUGGAUUUACCUUUAACUUACCAAACAAUCCCAGCAGUACCAUAAAGCAUCUGCGCAUGAACCCAAAAAUAUAUGAGCCCAUGAUGUAACCCGGAGCUUGCAAACUUUGACUGUUAGUGUCGCCAGAGGCAAAGGGAAUUUCUGUCUCGCCAAGGGCUGAAGGACUAGAAAAGGCACCUGAGGGAUUUUGCAUGCAGUCAGCUUUCCGCUGGGAAACGUAAAUUUGAAGACGAAGACUGGGGAUGUAAUUUCUCGGAACAGCAUGAAAUGAAUACAUACAAGAGAGGAGGAUGUUGCCCAACUGGUUUACGUUUUGCUGCUGGUUUUAAGAGAGCCAGAAUUUUACCUGAUGUGACUGCAGGACUUCUGUUUUUCCCUUCAGCUAAGGACAUGAAUCCCCCGGGAUGGGCCUAUGCCAACAUAGCUCAAACAAUUAUUUGAGAUUUACACAUCCCGCUGUGAAAACAGGCACAAAUCUUUAUUGUAUAGCAGCGCUGACUACUCACGCACAAUGUUUUUUCCCUUUUAAAAAAGCUCUCAAAUCCAGGAUGGUUCUGGGGAUAAAGCAAGAAUUUUCUUCAAAGCUACUUUUGUAAGGAAUUAUUUUCUUUGCCUUUUUGUGUAAUUUUACAAGUUCUGCCAAAAAAAAAAAGGCAAAAAAAAUGAAAAGAAAGCUCAGUGUUGCAAGGUUUGCAGCAGCCUGGUGCUGCCACUGAGGGCCUCAUCCACACCCCAGGGGAGUUAAUAAAAAACUAUUGGAUCAAUCCUUUAAGCACUUGCUUAAUUUUAAACCUGUGGCUAGCGGCAAGGAAGCUCCGAGUCCCUCAACGCUUUGUUUCUGUCGCUGGCCUGUCCUCCCUUAGGCUGGUGGGGCAGAGGAGACUCACACUGAUGGAGAAGGAUCAGGCUGCUCCCGGUUUCCAGCAGGCAAGAGCUAAAAAUCAUAUUACUACUGCUUAUUUACUGGGUCAGCAGAUUUCUGGGCAAAAAUUACUUUCUUCAGCAGGGAGAAGCGACCACUGGUCAACAACUUCUAUGCUGAGAAACUGAUCCUGCAGUUUUUUAUUUAGCCAAGCUGAGCCCUAAGAUAUUAUCUGAUCAUAUUCUCUUCUGGUUUUUACUCUUCUAAGUUCAAACUGCUGCACCCUGCAAGUUGUGUCAUAACAUCGCUCUCCUACCAGCUCUCCGUCCUGUGUUCAGGAAUCACAAGCCAGGUCUCUCUGAAAGCCUUAAACUCCGGAACAGCCCGGCGGAUGUUUACUCAGAACAGAACUGCUGGUUUAUGCAUUAGCUUUCUGAUGUCCAUAGAUUUCUAAGCUGGCACGUAAGUCGCUAAAACACAAGCACAGCACAUCCCGGAAAGGACUGAUUUACAGCACCAGAGAGAAAACUAUUACAGCAAUUCGAGCGUUUCCCAGUCUCCGUGGCAGUAGAUACUGGCCGUUGCUGGAGGCAGAGUUCUGGAGGAGACGAACUGCUUGCCCUGUUAAUUCCUUUAAAAACAGGAAGAAAAUAUCUGUAAUCAAGCUCUAGUGAAUACUAGUAGAAAUACUUCGCUUCUAUAUUAAACCCCAGAAGAGAAAUGCGUUUGAUGUCUAUUUUUAUGACGACAUUCCUAUUUUUCCAGCUUUUUGGCAGCUGGGGAUAUAAUAUCUGCAAUACAUUAAUGAUCCCGAUUCAAAGAUUAGUGAUGUCAGCAGAAGGACUGUUAUUCAUUUCAAGGGGCUUUGAACCACGCUCUCGCAACACUUCAGAGCCGUCACUAGUCAUUAGAACACAUCUUUCUUAUUCUUUAAAAACAUUAUCUCCGAUGUAUUUUAAGCUACUACAGUACGACAGUCACUCUUAUUUCUGUUAAAGGAAAAGGCUCUUUUGUUAGGUUUUCAUAGACAGGACUGAAUUAUGUGAUGACUAUUUAAUUUCUGACUUAUUUACACUGUGAUCAGAAAAGUAAAAUGUAAACCUCUCCAGAAGGCUGAAUAAUUAAACUAUUGCAAGACACACACACACCCCCCAAUCUUCUCAGAACUUUAUUAUGUUGGUUUAAAAUAAUCAGAAAUUGAAUUUAAAGGUGGAUCAAAAACAUGCAUAAGGACUUCAAACAUGUUAUUUAAAAAAGACAUUUCUAUAAGCUUGGUUUCUCCUGGCUCUGUGUCUCGCAGUUUGAAAAAGUAUAAACUCUGAGUCAAACUUUCCCUGACGAUUGGGGUAUUCAGACUGUGAAUAGCUCCUGACGCAAUAAUGUGAACAAUUCCACAACGCCAGGCAAAUGUUCUGGUUUCAGAUGCCAAGUUGUGCAUACACUACAGACAUACUGGCAUGCUGCCUCUCUUCUACUUAUUGGCCCAAAAUUCACAGGAAAUGAAGAACUUUUUAAGACCUCUGUCCCUUCGUCUAUCUAAAAGAGAUCAGCUGGUUCAAAGGUUUUGGUGAGCAACAAAAACAUCGACAUCGGCAUGUAAGGAGUUACUUCAUUCCUUAGAAAAGCAACAUAAAAAUGAGGCCGCAGUGGCCAGUGAUUAUUGGAAAACCCAGUUUGUAAGCUUUUGCAACGCCUGUGUUCCUUGCUUUGCUCAGACUGCCGCAGGUCUAGCAGAUACCCUCCCUGAAGCUAAUGAG
Non-coding RNA from Phalacrocorax carbo (great cormorant), 3377 nucleotides. The record is from RefSeq and is a predicted model, not a curated record. NCBI's taxonomy places the organism in Eukaryota, Metazoa, Chordata, Aves, Suliformes, Phalacrocoracidae.